RNAcentral lists this ribosomal RNA (198 nucleotides) under uncultured bacterium. Its description in RNAcentral is "partial 16S ribosomal RNA". It matches the Rfam family "Bacterial small subunit ribosomal RNA", at positions 328 to 538 of the family's 1533-position model. The record is from RNAcentral.
ACGCUCGACACCUACGGGAGGAGCAGUGGGGAAUAUUGCACAAUGGGGGAAACCCUGAUGCAGCGACGCCGCGUGAAGGAAGAAGUAUCUCGGUAUGUAAACUUCUAUCAGCAGGGAAGAAAAUGACGGUACCUGACUAAGAAGCCCCGGCUAACUACGUGCCAACAGCCGCGGUAAUCUGAGCGGGCGUGGCAAGGC